UUAAUUAAUGAGUGGUGAAUCCCCCUGUGCGGCGGGGCUACCAGUAAGGUCUUUGAUUAUUCAACAUUGCGGAUCUGCUGACUGGGGCAGGUCCACCGGGAGGCACCCGGCACCACAUAUACCUACUUCACCGACAGUCAUAUUUGCUUUGCU
RNAcentral lists this small RNA (153 nucleotides) under uncultured Superficieibacter sp. RNAcentral's name for it is "Gammaproteobacterial sRNA STnc100". The stretch from base 12 to 116 matches the Rfam family "Gammaproteobacterial sRNA STnc100", at positions 32 to 146 of the family's 206-position model. The record is from RNAcentral. Lineage: Bacteria; Pseudomonadati; Pseudomonadota; Gammaproteobacteria; Enterobacterales; Enterobacteriaceae.